This is a long non-coding RNA of Trichosurus vulpecula (common brushtail), 1439 nucleotides long. RefSeq lists it as uncharacterized. The record is from RefSeq and is a predicted model, not a curated record. NCBI's taxonomy places the organism in Eukaryota, Metazoa, Chordata, Mammalia, Diprotodontia, Phalangeridae. The transcript has 3 exons.
GGAAAGAAAGCGGAAUAUUUAGAGAUAGUGUGUUAUUAUAGUAACUAACAAUGUAGGAGUUAUUAUCAUCCCUAUUUUACAAAUGAGCAAACUGAGGACCGAAGUUGAAACAGUUGGGAGAUCGCAGCUUCCCUUCCGCAGAAGGAACAAGCCACAAGUGUAUGAGGUGGAGGUUUGCAUCUGAGAAAAGCUGAGAGGACAACCUUGGCCUAAGAUUUUAGCAGGAAUAUCUAAGGAAUCCAUACAAGCAACACGGAACCAGAAAAACAAUUCUACUGAAGAGCUGCCCCUGAAGACAAGACAUUUUCCAGAUGGCCUCAAGAAAAGAUGUUCCGGACACCAGACAACUACAUGGGACAUCUGGAUUCCAAGAUGAAAUUUGAUAAUUAAAUGGACAUUGGGGGUGUCCCUUCUUCAUUGAUAAAAUCAAAUUGUUCUGAUCCCAUUCUGUAAUGGAUUCUAUUCUCUGCCACCCCCAAUAUGUUGUAAAACUACCCAAGCCAUGUUUCUUUGUCUCUGAACCAAGUUCAGAAAUUCAACUCACCCAUUAAUCCCCAGAUGCCAUUGGUUCUCCUUCACCUCCCCAGGGUGAAAUGGAAGAAAAUUCUAACAAUUCUGGUAAUUUUCUUUUUGGUCAUGUUGUUUCCAAUCUGUGCUUAUAUUGGGUAUGUGGUUUAUACUUACAAAUGAGAUCAUCCUGGCUGUACCUAAAAAGACCCUAAACACCCUAAGCAUAGAGCUGCCCCAAGGACAUUGCCGAAGAUAUUCAAAAAAUUAUAUGGGUUGCUUUUCAGGGGUGGAUUAUAGGAUUUGAAUUGGGAAAAACACCUAAAAUAGAGUAAUAAGUAAAAAGUCACAAAACUUAAACUCUAUGAAAGAUGGAAGCCCAAACAUGGUGAUCUGUUUACAAAUUGUAACUUAGAUACUAAAUCAUAACUUAGACACUGAGUCAAAACUUAAGAUACUAUGAUUUAUGAAAGCCAAAACAAGAAUACUGUGACCAGGACAUGAUAAAUACACAAACUUUUGUUUGGACAUAACAUUGGCUUAACUCCCAAGCUCACUACUAAGCAGAAAACCAAAAAUAUCCACCAAUCAGUGGUGAUGCAUUCUGUAGCUCCUCCUGCUUUUUUUUUUUAUCUUUUAAGGAUAUCUAGUUUAUUAUCCAAAAAAGUCUGGUUUGCUACUGCUGUCCUUACAAAUACAGUUGGACUCAAACAAUGAACGUGUCUUAGUCAUAGGAGGAAAGGAGGGGAAUGUUGCUAGCCCUCAUUCGCAAUUUCUAUCCAAUUAUAUUUUGUUCCAACUAUGAUGCCAGCCUUCCUAUUUUCUGUAUUACCCCAAAAUAUAAAAGAAAGCUGUCCCCCUCAUUUGAGGUCUUAGCAUUUAUGGGGAAGCUGAGAUCUGAUUUAUUGGUAAAUUCAUGCUUUACUAAUAAA